Molecule: transfer RNA, 89 nt
Filed under: Desulfotomaculum sp.
Lineage: Bacteria; Bacillati; Bacillota; Clostridia; Eubacteriales; Desulfotomaculaceae
Also listed under: 1 other name
Description: tRNA-Leu
Rfam family: tRNA
About the family: Transfer RNA (tRNA) molecules are approximately 80 nucleotides in length.
Source: RNAcentral
GCCGGAGUGGCGGAAUUGGCAGACGCACGGGACUUAAAAUCCCGCGGUGAGUAAUCACUGUACCGGUUCAAGUCCGGUCUCCGGCACCA